GAUGAACGCUGGCGGCGUGCCUAAUACAUGCGAGUCGAGCGAACGGACGAGAAGCUUGCUUUUCCGAUGUUAGCGGCGGACGGGUGAGUAACACGUGGAUAACCUACCUAUAAGACUGGGAUAACUUCGGGAAACCGGAGCUAAUACCGGAUAAUAUUUUGAACCGCAUGGUUCAAAAGUGAAAGACGGUCUUGCUGUCACUUAUAGAUGGAUCCGCGCUGCAUUAGCUAGUUGGUAAGGUAACGGCUUACCAAGGUAACGAUGCAUAGCCGACCUGAGAGGGUGAUCGGCCACACUGGAACUGAGACACGGUCCAGACUCCUACGGGAGGCAGCAGUAGGGAAUCUUCCGCAAUGGGCGAAAGCCUGACGGAGCAACGCCGCGUGAGUGAUGAAGGUCUUCGGAUCGUAAAACUCUGUUAUUAGGGAAGAACAUAUGUGUAAGUAACUGUGCACAUCUUGACGGUACCUAAUCAGAAAGCCACGGCUAACUACGUG
This 497-nucleotide ribosomal RNA is filed under the name uncultured bacterium. Its description in RNAcentral is "partial 16S ribosomal RNA". It matches the Rfam family "Bacterial small subunit ribosomal RNA", at positions 28 to 507 of the family's 1533-position model. The record is from RNAcentral.